CGCAUGUUAAUCCAGCCUAGAAUCCACUUAACACGAUUGUGGAUAACAACCUUCACUACUUGUGAAUAUAAGUUCAUAACGAUUAGGUGAAACUCCCUUAUAUUCUAGAAUCAAAUUCAUGCAUGAAAAUUAAGCGUGCACUCUUAAUCGACAUACACAAAUUAGUAAUCAAUCAAGCAGUUAAGCAAAUUAAAUCACAACUCAGAAAUCACAACUGAAGGUAAUCAAUUCAUAUUACAAAUAUAUUCAUGGCUUUGAAUUAACCUCUAGCCAAAAAGAAAUUAGUUCCACAUGUUUAACAUAAUUGAACAGCAAGUUAAAUUAAACAUGAACAUAGAAUUAAAAGAAGAAAGAAUUCCAAACACUCUAAUAGUUGCAGAUUGCAUAAGCACGGCACUACUCCUCCUCUCCUUCAAUGGUGGCGGCACAAGGUGGUUAUGGUGGUUGAAUGGUUGGUUAUAUGGAGAAAUGGAUGGGGAAGGUUUAGAUAUGUAGGGAGAGGCAAGGGAAGGCUUGGAGAAUGGUUAAUUUCUGGAUGAUUUGAAUGAGGUUGCUACCAUGGUAUUUAUAGGAAAAGGAUGGACUUGUUUAACACAAAAUUUUGGUGGAAUUGAGUAGGUGAGCAUGGCAAAGAGUGGGAAUUGUUGGUGGGUUAGGUAUUGAGUCAUCCAUUCACAUGUCAUGGUGAGUUAAGCAUUGCAUCAUCCACUCACAUGUCAUGGUGAUUUAAGCAUUGCAUCAUCACUCAAAUUUCUGGUGAAAGUGAAUCAAUGCCCACGGCAUUGAAGAAUUUCUUGGUUUUUGAGUGAAGUUUUGGUCAAUCCUUCUAGAAAUUUAUCCCUUCUUGCAACUUAUAUUUGUUUCACCAGAUUUUUAGCAUGUUCAUAGCCUCUUUUGUCUUCAAAUUCGUCCAUCCUCAUGCCUCCAUGCUUGCACAAUCCAAUCUUGGCCCAAAAAUGCUCUAGAAUGUUCCAAAUUGCUUCUUUUUUGCAUACUUUGACACUAAAACCUGAAAUUGCACGAAAAUAACUUUAAACACUAUAAUUAUCAUAGUUUAGCUAAUUAAAAGCAAGAAAACAAGCUAACUAAGUCGUAUAAAUAUGCUCCUAUCAAUUUCCCCCACACUUAGCUUUUGCUAGUCCUCGAGCAAAACAAAGAAAACAAGAACAAGUAGUAACAAGAAAAACAUUAGCUUCCCCCUAUGUGACCCUCAUAGAAUUUCAUUUGAGAACACAAAUCAACAAGAACCAUAGCUAGCACCAAACAAGCUAAUCCAAGUUCAUCUUCCUUAUUCAAAUAUUAGCAGUAAUCUUUAAAUCAUCCUUGAAGUGUAGUGUGUGAGAUAGCCAUGCUAAUGCAAUUUCAAAAAAAAAAUUUAUUUUUUAUUUUUUAAAAUCAUCAUAUGCAAACUAGCAACCUUCUCACGGGAUAUACACUCAAUUACACAUGUGUUUAGUUUAAAUGUGUUUCGCUCAAAGAAUCAAAUGUGAAAUUUCUACCAUAAGCUUGCAUAAAGAUCACUUCUCCACAGUCAUAAUUGUAAAACUUAAAUCAAGAGGACUUUUAUUGGAUGUAAUGAGGCUUAGGGAUAGGGUUAUUGAAACGAAAGAAUAGGAAAACACAAGUUCCAAGCUACAUUGCAAGCAAUUCUUUUGUUUAGAUUUAUAAGAACUCAAUCUUUCCAGCGAUUCUUCUAGCACCUCCAACCACACCCUUAAUUGAAACUUGAAAAACUUUUUAUUUUCUUUGUAUACAAUCUUUCUUUUUCUUUUCUUUUUUUUCUCUUUUUUUUUUUUUUUUUUUUUUUUUUUUUUAAAUACAAACAUGAAAUACCCCCACACUUAUUCUUUUGCCAAACACCUUCAAAGUACUUCACAAACAUUUCUCAUAAGACAAUCUCGCAUUGCUCGCUUGGAAAGGGUAAGGAAAAAUGUUUCAGGUAUAAGGGUAGACAUAUCUGGUGAUAAGAAAUAAAAGGCUCAACGUACACGGCUCAAAUUGGCAAUCUAAUGAUAUCAUUUUUCUUUGGGAAACAUGGUUAUUUGGGCCAUAGUGGUAAACCUAAUGCCUCUAUCAUUUCCAAAUUCAUGCAAUCAAUGACAAACAUUUCGAAAGAUCGUUAUGCAAGUUCUAGAGAUGUAUCUCACAUAAGUUCAUCACACAUGAAAGAAUAGGAGUGUAUGAAAAAUGCACACACUUUCAAUCGGCUCAAAAACUCACAUAAGAUGUAUAUGGUCACUAAAUUCACAUAUGAAGCUUUAAGUCAUACUUUAAUUUCACAUUAACAAGGCUAUGUGCAUUUGGUUUUUCAAAGAUGGUCAAACAUGUACAAAACUAACAAGAGAAUUAGGAAUUUCACAAAACACAUGUUAACUAAGUUCUUGAUGAUCAUGGUUCAAAUUUGAUCCAAUUAUAUCAUUGGGUCGGGAAACUAACAAAAAUCUAAUUCAAAAUAAUAAGGGAAACAAGACAAUAUUUUUGGAUUUUUUUUUUAAAUUUCCGAUUUUUUUUUUUUUAAUUUUUUUUUUUUUUUAAAAAGAAAACAAAACUAAUUAAGAAAACAAAAAGCAACAACAUGGAAACAAAUGAAACUCAUUCGUAGUUGAAGGUACAAAAAAAAAAUUCAAUUUGGUCAUUUUUAUACUCUUUACCCCCCCAAACUUAAACUGGACAUUGUCCCCAAUGUCAGAAAACACUAUAAUGCAAAUAAAAAU
This 2714-nucleotide long non-coding RNA is filed under the name Malus domestica (apple). RNAcentral's name for it is "long non-coding RNA (MDOM_LNC007663)". Lineage: Eukaryota; Viridiplantae; Streptophyta; Magnoliopsida; Rosales; Rosaceae. The record is from RNAcentral.